GUGGGGAAUCUUGCGCAAUGGGCGAAAGCCUGACGCAGCCAAGCCGCGUGAAUGAUGAAGGUCUUAGGAUUGUAAAAUUCUUUCACCGGGGACGAUAAUGACGGUACCCGGAGAAGAAGCUCCGGCUAACUUCGUGCCAGCAGCCGCGGUAAUACGAAGGGGGCUAGCGUUGCUCGGAAUUACUGGGCGUAAAGGGCGCGUAGGCGGACAGCUUAGUCAGAGGUGAAAGCCCAGGGCUCAACCUUGGAAUUGCCUUUGAUACUGGCUGUCUUGAGUACGGGAGAGGUGAGUGGAACUCCGAGUGUAGAGGUGAAAUUCGUAGAUAUUCGGAAGAACACCAGUGGCGAAGGCGACUCACUGGCCCGUUACUGACGCUGAGGCGCGAAAGCGUGGGGAGCAAACAGGAUUAGAUACCCGUGUAGUCC
Molecule: ribosomal RNA, 425 nt
Filed under: uncultured bacterium
Lineage: Bacteria
Description: partial 16S ribosomal RNA
Rfam family: Bacterial small subunit ribosomal RNA
Source: RNAcentral